This is a non-coding RNA of Heterocephalus glaber (naked mole-rat), 787 nucleotides long. Lineage: Eukaryota; Metazoa; Chordata; Mammalia; Rodentia; Bathyergidae. The record is from RefSeq and is a predicted model, not a curated record.
AGGUGUCAUAUGCAAGUACAAAUUCCUGAAGCAGCUGGGCAUGGUGGCACAGGGACCAAAGGAUAAUUCCAGUAAUGGGCCAGCAGGUGUCAUGACUAGCUGAACCAUGUUCUUGCUGAAUAUCACAUGUUUCAGGAAACAGCAGAAACUGUAUGCUGGUGAGAGAUACUUUAAGAUUUUGAGAUAUCGUCCUAUCAAACAUUUACCAUCUCUAUCAGAAGAACAAACGGAAACCAGCACAAAUAGUCAUGAGAAACAACUUAGUUUUAAAUACAAGGGAGAAAUUCUCUCUGUCGAAAACAGGUGAAUGAGAUAAUCUGAGAAAAGCUUUGAACUAGGACCAGCACACUUAUAUGGUGUGCACUUGGGACCAGUCCUGGCUCAUUGUUGCCACUAUGCUCUUAAAUGCUAUGUAAAAGGACUUAAAUCUAGAUUGUAUCAUUAUAUAAGUCUACUUUGAGCAUUGAAAUGGUAUGAGUUUUAUAGAAUUUGCUUUUCUAAAAGUUUUUAAAUGGAAGCUAUGAAUGAUGCUUUGAAUGUAAUCUCAAUCAGAUGCUGGAGUGGAGAAGAGUUGGUGGAGUGAGUUAGAAGCUGCAGUGCAUCCUUUGGAGAUGGUCUUAAACACCACUUCUUUCCCUUAUCUACCUUCAGCAGUUCCAAUAACUUUCAAGUUCUUGGUGUAUCACUUCAUGGGAUGUUUAACAAUGGAAACGGGUUUGUUAAUUGAACAUCUGUAGAUCAAAUUGUGCUUAAAUUUUAUAAAAUAAAUAAUCACAUGUUUAGAUGU